CAAUAGCGUAUAUUAAUGUUGUUGCAGUUAAAAGCUCGUAGUUGGAUUUCUGGCUGGAGUGUCCGGUCCGCCCCUCACGGGUGGUGUUACUUUGGGUUAUGCUUUUGGCCUAUCCGCUUGGCCGAUGGAGCGAAUGUGGGGCAUUAAGUUGUUCGUGUUGGGAUCGCCAUCAUUUACUGUGAAAAAUUAGAGUGUUUAAAGCAGGCGUUUGCUGUGAAUACAUUAGCAUGGAAUAAUAAGAUAGGACUUUGGUGCUAUUUUGUUGGUUUGUACACCGAGGUAAUGAUUAAUAGGGACAGUUGGGGGUAUUCGUAUUUAAUUGUCAGAGGUGAAAUUCUUGGAUUUAUGAAAGACGAACUACUGCGAAAGCAUUUACCAAGGAUGUUUUCAUUAAUCAAGAACGAAAGUUAGGGGAUCAAAGAUGAUUAGAUACC
Molecule: ribosomal RNA, 434 nt
Filed under: uncultured eukaryote
Lineage: Eukaryota
Description: bacterial SSU rRNA
Rfam family: Eukaryotic small subunit ribosomal RNA
Source: RNAcentral